Molecule: long non-coding RNA, 1815 nt
Organism: Manis pentadactyla (Chinese pangolin)
Lineage: Eukaryota; Metazoa; Chordata; Mammalia; Pholidota; Manidae
Exons: 2
Source: RefSeq, a predicted model, not a curated record
AGAGCCUCCUCUGUCUUUGCCCCCAUCACCUGUUUCUCCCCCACAGACUGAGCCUGAACCCUUCAGUCCUCCUCAGACUCAGUCCUGAGGGCCUCCCAAAAUUAUCACCCCCCACUCCAGGAAGUAGCAGGAUCCGAAGGCAUGUGCGUGUUCACGUCCCUUUCUCCUUAAGAGAUUUAGCCCAACUGGAGAAACGCCUAAGUUCCUUUUCCACUGAUCCCACAACAUAUAUCAAGGAGUUUCAAUGAACCCUCCAGUCAUACAGCCUCACACAUCAUGACAUUUUCAUGCUCCUGGCCAAUACCCUCCUUCCUGAAGAGCGCAGACGAGUUUGGGACUUCGCCCAAACGCACGCCGCCUAAACCCAUAGGACUGAACCCACCUAUCCCCCUGGCCCCACCGCUGUCCCCGAACAAGACCCACACUGAGAUUAUAACACCACCGUGAGUCUCCGCUCUCAAGAUAUCUUCGCCUGCUGCUUAAUAGCAGGUCUGAAAAAGCAGCUCAUAAAUAGUCAAUUUUCAAAAGCUCCCUCCGAGUUCUUAGACAGACUCACCCAAGCCCUAUUACAGUAUACCAGCCUGGACCCAGAAACGCCUGAUAGGAGACAUGUCCUUAUGACAUACUUCCUAGCUCAAAGCUACCCCGACAUUAAAGCUAAACUCAAAAAGUUAGAACAGGGCCCCGCUACCCCACAGACUGAGAUCCUCACAGUGGCCUUUAAAGUCUUCCAUAACCGGGAGGAGGAGAAAGAACGCCGUAAACAAAAGGCUGAUCAGGCCAAUUUCCAAAUGUUGGCCCAGCUGAUAAAACCACAACCUGGGCGCCCCUCUACAAACAAGCCCCCCGCCCCCCAGGAGCUUGUUUCAAGUGCAGAAAAGAAGGGCAUUGGUCAAGGGCGUGCCCCUACCCCAGAUCUCCUAUCACCCCAUGCCCCAGAUGCCACAAGAAGGGCCACUGGAGGUCUGAUUGCCCAGCCACCCGAAGGGGAGGCUGGAUGAACAACCCCCAUCCUAAGCCUGCCGUAGUGGGGCUGGCAGAAGAAGAUUGACGGGGCCCGGGGGCUUCUCACUCGACUAUUUCCAUCACCAAACAGGAGCCCAGGGUUACCUUAAUAGUAGACGGUUGCCCCAUCUCCUUCCUCCUAGAUACAGGAGCCACCUUCUCAGUCUUGCGGGAAUACCGGGGCCCUACCACGCCUGCCAUUACUCCUAUAGUCGGGCUUUUACUCAGGAGCUACCAGCUUUUAGCCACAGAAGAUCCCUCACCCUCAUGUAACCUCCCCACCACACGCUGAGAUGGACCCCUCUCUCCGCUGGAAACUGUUCCUGGAGACAAUGGCCGCAGACGCCUGACUUCUGACACCCGUAUCCUCUUGGCACCAUUGGCAUCAACAAGUCCUCGACCUAUAGUUACAAGAAACCUUCUAGAAGUGGACUAUGAAGAAGUCCACAUCUACUCGUCCUUACUGUGGGGAGUCCUGUCAACCCUUUCCCCCCAAUCCUCAAGCCCUCACUCCCUUCUCCGCCCCCGUUCAGCAGGAAGCAGUCAGAAAGAAAGCAACGUCCACAACCCCAUAGAGGAGAAAGGGAGGAAUGAAGGGCCCCCACCAGUAAGAUGGCGAACUUCCGGCUUCUCUUCCGGGUCCUCAGUUCCCAAUGGCGCCACCUAAAGACCAAUCACCUCUCUCCCCACUCCCACUCCCAGCACCUAGCCAAUAGCCACCAGCCCCGUAGAAGUAACACCACAAUCACCCCAUGCCCCUUCCUAUAUAACCCAGCACCUUUCCCCAAUAAAGCGGAAUUCUCUGGUGAA